UACGUAGGAGGCGAGCGUUGUCCGGAAUCAUUGGGCGUAAAGAGCGCGCAGGCGGCUUGGCAAGUCGGGUGUGAAAUCCCGGGCGUCAACUCGGAGACGCCACUCGAUACUGCCAUGACUAGAGUCCGGUAGGGAGCGCGGAAUUCCUGGUGUAGCGGUGAAAUGCGCAGAUAUCAGGAGGAACACCGGUGGCGAAGGCGGCGCUCUGGGCCGGUACUGACGCUGAGGAGCGAAAGCGUGGGGAGCGAACAGGAUUAG
This 258-nucleotide ribosomal RNA is filed under the name uncultured bacterium. Its description in RNAcentral is "partial 16S ribosomal RNA". It matches the Rfam family "Bacterial small subunit ribosomal RNA", at positions 524 to 781 of the family's 1533-position model. The record is from RNAcentral.